CCUACGGGUGGCAGCAGUGGGGAAUAUUGCACAAUGGGGGAAACCCUGAUGCAGCGAAGCCGCGUGAGUGAAGAAGUAUUUCGGUAUGUAAAGCUCUAUCAGCAGGGAAGAAAAUGACGGUACCCGAUUAAGAAGCCCCGGCUCACUACGUGCCAGCAGCCGCGGUAAUACGUAGGGAGCAAGCGUUAUCCGGAUUUACUGGGUGUAAAGGGAGCGUAGACGGCAGCACAAGUCUGGAGGGAAAUGCCCGGGCUUAACCCCGGAACUGCUUUGGAAACUGGGCAGCUAGAGUGCAGGAGAGGUAAGUGGAAUGCCUAGUGUAGCGGUGAAAUGCGUAGAUAUUAGGAGGAACACCAGUGGCGAAGGCGGCUUACUGGACUGUAACUGACGUUGAGGCUCGAAAGCGUGGGGAGCAAACAGGAUUAGAUACCCGGGUAGUC
This 440-nucleotide ribosomal RNA is filed under the name uncultured bacterium. RNAcentral describes it as "partial 16S ribosomal RNA". It matches the Rfam family "Bacterial small subunit ribosomal RNA", at positions 338 to 795 of the family's 1533-position model. The record is from RNAcentral.